GGCUCCUCCUCCUUCUCCUCCUCUCCAGCACCUGCUCCUCCCAGCUGUCACUGCUUCUGCUCGUCUAAUGCCUACUACACGCUAACACAUCGUCACCACUCCGUGAGGAGUCGAGGCUCUGAGGGUGAUGAAGGCGAUUUUUAAUCGUGAUCCGUUGAAAGCUACGAGUGGAAAGUAACAGAAACAUCACCAAGGAAAUCCUGAAUGGCACAUUAAAACCAACCUGAAUCAAAGGGUUCCUGGAACACGACAUUGCCACGUGCUUCACAGCCUCCGACAGGAACAGAAAUCCCUCCUGUCCGAUGCCCGGGGCUCCUUGGGAAACCGUCUGCAGGCCCCUGAGCUGUCCAUGCUAUGGACUUCCCUUGCGGCCUGGGGCAGGCCGGAACCUCGAAGCAAUGAUAGUAAUUGUCUUCACGGGGCAAACCAGGCUUCCUAACCAACGAAUUUCCUGUUCUCCAGUUUGUGUGGUGACCACUGGGACAGCCACGCAGCUCUCUGGGCCUCCGUUUGAUGAUUUGGUCUGAGGUUUGCUGCCAAAAAGGCCUGUCUGUCUCCCCAUGAGCGUUAGGCCCCGGGGCCGGGGAGGGGGAAGCAGCUCUGAGGGCAGCUCGCUGUCUACUUUUCUUCCCUGGACGUCGGGUUAAUUCCAUUCUACCACCCUGUGUCCGUAUGAGUUCCAAUUGAAAAAAAAAAAACAGAAACCCAAACUUUCUUGCCCUCUCUGCCCUCAAGAUAACGUGAUUAAAUGGGGCAGAACUGGCCACCAGCUACACCAACAAUAUCUUGCAAUUUUGCUCUUAGCUGAUUAGAGAACACAAUGUCUCUGCAGAGAAUGGACUCAUUUAUCACAUCUCCCCGGAAGGUUCGUGCUGGACUGGGCUGGUGAGCAAAGCUCACUGCAGAGGAAGGACCCGAGGAGGGAGAACCCAGCACGCCUCUGGAAGCACAGAUUCUGCCUUUCCACUCAGCAAUUAAUCUCCUUUGGCUCUGCUAAAUUACGGCAGAGGCAGCAUCACUCUAAAGUGCAAAUACGAGGUGGCCAGUGGGUCCUGGAGGGGAGCAGCGAGCAACCUUGCAGAUGACAGCUGAACACCACCAGCGCGGUGGUCGCAGGGCGCACGAGUACUUGAAGGACAGGGAGGGGACCCUG
This 1153-nucleotide long non-coding RNA is filed under the name Equus caballus (horse). Its description in RNAcentral is "lncRNA (ENSECAG00000047180.1)". The record is from RNAcentral. Lineage: Eukaryota; Metazoa; Chordata; Mammalia; Perissodactyla; Equidae.